CAGACACACAGAAGAGGCGAAGUUGCAGUUCUUCUCGAAAUCAGCAGAUCGUCUUUUUCAUUAUGAAGCUGAUUAUAAUAACCAUAAUGAUCAUCGUGGCUUUGAUGUGUCUGCAAGCAGUAUUAGGUGUUUAUUGCAUUGGAAGAGGACAGAGAUGUGGAAUUUUUAAUAAUUGCUGCAAGGGGCUCAUAUGUGAUUUUCCCAAAAAUCUUUGGAACAAAUAUUGUUACGAACCGUCAUAUUUCAAACAAUAAACAUCCUUUGACUUCUUCAGAAUGUGAUUGGCUACUUUUGUCCCAAGUAGUAGCCAUGUAUCAAGACAUGAACAUUCCAAAAGUAUUUUGUGCGGUUUGAUGCUGAUAAUGAUCAUGUCAGACAUUGUCUACU
Pomacea canaliculata is the source of this 387-nucleotide long non-coding RNA. RefSeq lists it as uncharacterized. The transcript is spliced from 3 exons. Lineage: Eukaryota; Metazoa; Mollusca; Gastropoda; Architaenioglossa; Ampullariidae. The record is from RefSeq and is a predicted model, not a curated record.